CCUGGCUGGAGAGCUGCACUGCAAAACUUGGAGAAAUGCGAAUUUCUAAGCAUGGCUGGGUUUCAGUUCGCAUCCUAUUUCGGAAAGUGCAGAUUUGGUAGGUUUGCCUGUCAGUGUGAACUGAAUUUCUCUUCCAUUCUGAAUUCUGCAACAAAUCAUGGGCUCUGCAAUAGUGCAUUAGUGGUGGGUUUAUACUGGACUGUCCACACAUCAUUCAUCUUCGUUGGUUUUGCAUUGCUUCCCUAAUGUUACCCUGUAUGGAGAAGAAGAAGAAGAGUUUGAAGAGUUUGGAUUUGAUAUCCCGCUUUAUCACUACCCUAAGGAGUCUCAAAGCGGCUAACAUUCUCCUUUCCCUUCCUCCCCCACAACAAACACUCUGUGAGGUGAGUGGGGCUGAGAGACUUCAAAGAAGUGCGACUGGCCCAGCAGCUGCAUGUGGAGGAGCGGGGACGCGAACCUGGUUCAUCAGAUUAUGAGUCUAUCGCUCUUAACCACUAUGCCACACUGGCUCUCUUGAACUAUAUCAGGGCAAAAUUGGGAUGACAACAACCCUGGAUCUCUCAUGGUAUAAAAAGUCACAGGAUAUUAGCAGGAGGUUAUGGCACAUGCACUGAUUGGAAAUGAAAUUAAAAAAUUCCUCCCAGUAGCACCUUAGAGACCAACUAAGUUUGUUAUUGAUAUGAGCUCUCGUGUGCAUGCAUUGGAAAUUAAUCAGUAUUUCCAUCCCAAAACUUUUGCAGGUGCAAGCAGUAUUGAAAGGGGAUUGAGUAUCACUGCCCAGAUACCAUCAUGAGCGCAAAUCAUCAUAAAUACACAAUAAACACAGCAUCUGGAGUGGGACAAAAUUUAGCCGCUUUGAAGCUGUUUUUAGGACUCGCAUAAAGAAAGAGCAAGCAAAGAUGUCUGAAACUACUUGAGAUUUAUUAUAUUUGGCCAAGGGACCAGGCAUGCAGAGUGUCACGAGUUUUAUGGGCCUGUUUUAAUGCAGCUGCCCCAUUCACAUUAUGUUCCAUUUUAAGCAAUGCUGUCUUUUGUCCUAUGAUACUCCUAACUAUGCUACUCAUCUCUUCCUUUUGAUGUAGACAAGCCUCCUGGCUGGGCAAAGAUUAACAUUGCCCUAGAUCAGCGAUUCUCAACCUGUGGGUCCCCAGAUGUUGUUGGACUACAACUCCCAUCAUCCCUGAGCUCUGGCCUUGCUAGCUAGGGGUGAUGGGAGUUGUAGUCCAACAACAUCUGGGGACCCACAGGUUGAGAAAGGCUGCCCUAGAUGAAAACAAAGGACAUCAUCACCAUAGUUUUCAGGAUCCCCAGAAUGGGGGAGGGUGAUAAGCUCAGAGUCAAUUGCUUUGAUGAAGAAAAAGCAGAAAUACUGAAGCCAACAUAGUAGAUUUUAGUUUAUGCAAGCUUAUUCCUCUGUUUCUAUGUGUUAUGCAAUAGUUACAGGGCUGACCCUAUUAUUAGGUAGAAUGAGGCAGCCGCUUCAGGCAGCGAAUGCUGUUGGGUGGCCCAUGACCUUUCCUGGGCCUCUUAAGCUGCCCUCAUGCACCAGUGUUGAAGUAAGAUUCAGCUGCCAAUUUGGUAAGCUUUUGUACAAGGGGGGCCACUGUGUUGCCAAUUGCCUCAGGUAGCAAAAUGUCUCGGGGCAGCCUUGAGUAAGUAGAUCAUGCAAGUUGAAAUCAUAGAAUCUAGUCCAACCCUCUGCAAUGCAGGGAUCUCAGCUAAAGCUUCCAUGGCAUGUGACCAUCCAACCUCUGCUUAAAAUUCUCUAAGGAAGGGGAGUCCACAACUUCCCAAGGGAGACUGUUCCACUGUCGAACAUUUCUUGUGUGGUUUGCUGGUUGCAAUCCACAUCAGAAGAGGACAGCCUAGGGUUACAAUAUUUCAAAAAGUGACAAUCCAGACAAAAAAGUUGGGACACGGGUGGUGCUGUGGGUUAAACCACAGAGCCUUGGACUUGCCGAUCAGAAGGUUGGCGGUUCGAAUCCCCAUUAUGGGGUGAGCUCCUGUUGCUCGGUCCCUGCUCCUGCCAACCUAGCAGUUCGAAAGCAUGUCAAAGUGCAAGUAGAUAAAUACCUUCCGGCGGGAAGGUAAACGGCAUUUCCAUGCGCUGCUCUGGUUCACCAGAAGCGGCUUAGUCAUGCUGGCCACAUGACCCGGAAGCUGUACGCCGGCUCCCUCGGCCAAUAAAGCGAGAUGAGUGCCACAACCCUAGAGUCGGCCACAACUGGACCUAAUGGUCAGGGGUCCCUUUACCUUUAUCCAAUCCAGAUAUGGAGGGCCAGAUACGGAAGUCUGGGGAGCCACAUUGAGACCCUGUUCCUGUGAUUUCUUC
Podarcis lilfordi (Lilford's wall lizard) is the source of this 2332-nucleotide non-coding RNA. Lineage: Eukaryota; Metazoa; Chordata; Lepidosauria; Squamata; Lacertidae. The record is from the annotation of a GenBank genome assembly.